UUUACCAUUUAUUCAAAUUUUCUAGUGUCUAAAACAAACAAAAUAAAGCUGUUUAAUAACAAAACAAAAAAAUAAGAAAUCACUUUUUUUAAUAAAAAAUCUUUUUUUCCUCCUAAAGAAAUUCAAUCCAGGAAUCAAUGAAACCUGGAGUGUGGUCACCUACUUCCCUGUAACUGUCCGUUCUACAGAGUUGAUUCCAGUUCAAUCAGAGUGAAUCCGCCUUUCAGUCUUCGAAGUCUGAGCUGCAAAGAAGAUUUAACAAUAUAAAGUUUAUUUUUUAUCAGUUAGAUCCACAAUGCAUUUAUUAAAAAUGAUCAAAACAGUUCAUGCUAUACUCUUACACUUUGAAACUAAUUGAUAAACAUAAAAUAUUCUUUGAUUAUUUGA
This is a long non-coding RNA of Oryzias melastigma (Indian medaka), 387 nucleotides long. RefSeq lists it as uncharacterized. The transcript has 2 exons. NCBI's taxonomy places the organism in Eukaryota, Metazoa, Chordata, Actinopteri, Beloniformes, Adrianichthyidae. The record is from RefSeq and is a predicted model, not a curated record.